AGUGAAUCAGGCCUGAGGAUGAAGAAGGAAUAGCCCAGCACCGAAUCCCCCGGGUCUCUUGCGCGGAGGGAAAUAAGAUGUGCGGGUGAUGAGCCGCAUCUUCCGCCGCGUCGGCAUCGAUCGUCCUUGUGACGUGGCCCCUCGCUCCAGCGCGGGUGAUAUGCCCAUCGCGAUGACCGACGCGCCGUGUCGGUGAUCCUCCCCAGAGUGAGGUUGCUUAAGAUCGCAUCCCAAAGCGGGUGGUAAACUCCAUCUAAGGCCAAAUACUCGACACGGGUCCGAUAGCGGACAAGUACCAUGAGGGAAAGUUGAAAACAACUGAUGAGAGAGUUUAAGAGUACGUGAAACCACACAGAGUCAAACGGGUGGAGCCGCAAAGAUUCUCUCGUCCCGGCCGUCCAGCCCGGUCGGAUCGCUGCCGCUCGCGGCCCCAGUUGCACGCCUCCCUUCGAGGGGAGUUCGCCUGGCGCGUAGCGCACUUCGUCCGGUGUGUGUUCCCGCUCCGGCGUCGAGUGCCACGACCGGUUCCGACGAGGGACGCGUUCCGCAGACGGCGCGACAAUUUGGGUCCUUCGCGAUCCGAACGCGCCGCCGAGGUCCUAGCGUUCCGGGGACCGAGGACGACUGGCCGUCGACUCUCCCAGCGCGUUUACCGCGCUCUCCCCAGCUAUAGUUGCGAGCGGCCGAACGCGGUCCGGGGGCGAGCCAUCUACGCCGCAGGAGACGGAUGCGCAGCGUUGGUGGCUUUUACGGGCGAUACUCCACCCGACCCAUCUUGGAACACGGACCAAGGAGUCUAGCGCGUGCCCGAGUCACCGGGUCUGGUAACCCCGACGGCGGAAUGAAAGUGAUCCCGCAGUUUCUCGCUGCUGGAAGGGCAGGAUGCUCUUCUCCCUCGGGAAGGAAGCUGCACUGCCGGCCCGUCUCUUCUCGAGGCGGAGGCCGAGCGCACGCGCUGGGACUCGAAAGAUGGUGAACUAUGCCUGGGCAGGACGAAGUCGGGGGAAACUCCGAUGGAGGUUCGCAGCGAAUCUGACGUGCAAAUCUAUCGGCAA
RNAcentral lists this ribosomal RNA (1055 nucleotides) under Trigoniocardia granifera. Its description in RNAcentral is "eukaryotic LSU rRNA". It matches the Rfam family "Eukaryotic large subunit ribosomal RNA", at positions 82 to 908 of the family's 3401-position model. The record is from RNAcentral. Lineage: Eukaryota; Metazoa; Mollusca; Bivalvia; Cardiida; Cardiidae.